AGGGAAAUAAUUUAAUUGGUAAAAUACUGGCCUUCAAAUCCAGUUUCAAAGGUUCAAAUCCUUUUUUCCCUG
Non-coding RNA from Piptocephalis cylindrospora, 72 nucleotides. Lineage: Eukaryota; Fungi; Zoopagomycota; Zoopagomycetes; Zoopagales; Piptocephalidaceae. The record is from the annotation of a GenBank genome assembly.